AAUAUCNUGGGUGGCAGCAAUGAGGAAUCUUGGACAAUGGGCGAGAGCNUGAUCCAGCAUGCCGGGUGCAGGAAGANUNCUAUGGGUUGUAAAUUGCUUUUGUAGGNGAAGAANCACUCCGAGGNGUNGGAGUGCCGGUAGCGUAAGAAUAAGGAUCGUCUAACUCCGCGCCAGCAGCCGCGGUAAUACGGAGGAUCCUAUCGUUAUCCGGAAUCAUUGGAUUUAAAGGGUCCGUAGGCGGAAUUCUAAGUCAGAGGUGAAAGUCUGCAGCUUAAAAGUAGAAUUGCCAUUGAUACUGGNGGUCUUGAAUGAAUGGGAAGGAAUUAGAAUAUGUAGGGUAGCGGUGAAAGAUUUAGCUAGGACAUGGAAUANCAAUUGCGAAGGCAGAUCACUAACAGUAUAUUGACGGUGAGGGACGAAAGGANGGGAAGCNAACAGGAUUAGAUACCNUGCUAGUCCACACCGUAAACGAUGGAUAGUAGGGGUUGCNCCNUCAGUNUCAGUGGNUAAGCGAAAGUGAUAAUNCCNCCC
RNAcentral lists this ribosomal RNA (531 nucleotides) under uncultured bacterium. RNAcentral's name for it is "partial 16S ribosomal RNA". It matches the Rfam family "Bacterial small subunit ribosomal RNA", at positions 334 to 873 of the family's 1533-position model. The record is from RNAcentral.